This 459-nucleotide ribosomal RNA is filed under the name uncultured bacterium. Its description in RNAcentral is "partial 16S ribosomal RNA". It matches the Rfam family "Bacterial small subunit ribosomal RNA", at positions 338 to 795 of the family's 1533-position model. The record is from RNAcentral.
CCUACGGGUGGCAGCAGUGAGGAAUAUUGGUCAAUGGACGCAAGUCUGAACCAGCCAUGCCGCGUGCAGGAAGACGGCUCUAUGAGUUGUAAACUGCUUUUGUACGAGGGUAAAUCCCGCUACGUGUAUCGGGGUGAAAGUAUCGUACGAAGAAGGAUCGGCUAACUCCGUGCCAGCAGCCGCGGUAAGACGGGUGAUUCAAGCGUUAUCCGGAUUUAUGGGGUGUAAAGGGUGCGCAGGCGGUCUGUUAAGUCCGCGGUCAAAGCCCGGGGCGCACCCCCGGCCCGCCGUUGAAACUGGCAGUCUCGAGUUGGAGAGAAGUAUGCGGCAUGCGCGGUGUAGCGGUGAAAUGCAUAGAUAUCGCGCAGAACUCCGAUUGCGAAGGCAGCAUGCCGGCUCCACACUGACGCUGAGGCACGAAAGCGUGGGUAUCGAACAGGAUUAGAUACCCUUGUAGUC